RNAcentral lists this transfer RNA (88 nucleotides) under Abditibacteriota bacterium. Its description in RNAcentral is "tRNA-Ser". It matches the Rfam family "tRNA". Rfam says of the family: Transfer RNA (tRNA) molecules are approximately 80 nucleotides in length. Their secondary structure includes four short double-helical elements and three loops (D, anti-codon, and T loops). The record is from RNAcentral. Lineage: Bacteria; Pseudomonadati; Abditibacteriota.
GGAGUGGUGUCCGAGCUGGCCGAAGGAGCGGCACUGGAAAUGCCGUAGCGGGGUUCCUCGCUCGUGGGUUCGAAUCCCACCUACUCCG